RNAcentral lists this ribosomal RNA (371 nucleotides) under uncultured bacterium. RNAcentral describes it as "bacterial SSU rRNA". It matches the Rfam family "Bacterial small subunit ribosomal RNA", at positions 527 to 896 of the family's 1533-position model. The record is from RNAcentral.
AGAGGGUCCGAGCGUUAAUCGGAAUUACUGGGCGUAAAGCGCACGUAGGCGGCUUGGCAUGUCGGGUGUGAAAUCCCCCGGCCUCCAACCUGGGACUGCAUAGCGAAACUGCCUUGCUAGAGUAUGGGAGAGGGAAGCGGAAUUUCCGGUGUAGCAGUGAAAUGCGUAGAUAUCGGAAGGAACAUCAGUGGCGAAGGCGGCUUCCUGGACCAAUACUGACGCUCAGGUGCGAAAGCGUGGGGAGCAAACAGGAUUAGAUACCCUGGUAGUCCACGCCGUAAACGAUGAUCACUCGCCUGUUGGCGAUACACAGUCAGCGGCUAAGCAAAAGCAUUAAAGUGAUCCACCUGGGGAGUACGGCCGCAAGGCUG